UCGAGCGGUAACAUUUCUAGCUUGCUAGAAGAUGACGAGCGGCGGACGGGUGAGUAAUGCUUGGGAACAUGCCUUGAGGUGGGGGACAACCAUUGGAAACGAUGGCUAAUACCGCAUAAUGUCUACGGACCAAAGGGGGCUUCGGCUCUCGCCUUUAGAUUGGCCCAAGUGGGAUUAGCUAGUUGGUAAGGUAACGGCUUACCAAGGCGACGAUCCCUAGCUGGUUUGAGAGGAUGAUCAGCCACACUGGAACUGAGACACGGUCCAGACUCCUACGGGAGGCAGCAGUGGGGAAUAUUGCACAAUGGGCGCAAGCCUGAUGCAGCCAUGCCGCGUGUGUGAAGAAGGCCUUCGGGUUGUAAAGCACUUUCAGUCAGGAGGAAAGGUUAGUAGUUAAUACCUGCUAGCUGUGACGUUACUGACAGUACAAGAACCGGCUAACUCCGUGCCGGCAGCCGCGGGAAUGCGGAGGGUGCGAAAGGUUCUCGGAGUUGCUGGGAGUUAAGCGACCGGCGCCGCCGGUUUGAGCGGACCCGCGACAAUUCGGUUUGAUUUUUUAGCCUAGCGGCCGUACUCCCGAGGCGGUUCUAGUUAAUGCGUGAGCGUUUGAAAUAAGUUGUCGGAGGACCCCAGCUCCU
RNAcentral lists this ribosomal RNA (638 nucleotides) under Pseudoalteromonas rubra. Its description in RNAcentral is "bacterial SSU rRNA". It matches the Rfam family "Bacterial small subunit ribosomal RNA", at positions 62 to 705 of the family's 1533-position model. The record is from RNAcentral. Lineage: Bacteria; Pseudomonadati; Pseudomonadota; Gammaproteobacteria; Alteromonadales; Pseudoalteromonadaceae.